This 709-nucleotide ribosomal RNA is filed under the name uncultured archaeon. RNAcentral describes it as "bacterial SSU rRNA". It matches the Rfam family "Archaeal small subunit ribosomal RNA", at positions 570 to 1278 of the family's 1478-position model. The record is from RNAcentral.
GCUACUUGGGAAUACUACUUGGCUUGGGACCGGGAGAGGUCAGAGGUACCUCAAGGGUAGGGGUGAAAUCCGUUAAUCCUUGGGGGACCACCAGUAGCGAAGGCGUCUGUCCAGACCGGAUCCGACGGUGAGGGACGAAGGCUAGGGGAGCGAAUCGGAUUAGAUACCCGAGUAGUCCUAGCUGUAAACGAUGCGGGCUAGGUGUUGGCAUUACUGCGAGUGAUGCCAGUGCCGAAGGGAAGCCGUUAAGCUCGCCAUCUGGGGAGUACGGUCGCAAGGCUGAAACUUAAAGGAAUUGGCGGGGGAGCACCACAACGGGUGGAGCUUGCGGUUCAAUUGGAUUCAACGCCGGAAAUCUCACCGGAGGAGACAGCGAGAUGAAGGUCAGGCUAAAGACCUUACUGGAUUAGCUGAGAGGUGGUGCAUGGCCGUCGGCAGUUCGUGUCAUGAGACAUCCUGUUAAGUCAGGCAACGGGCGAGACCCGUGCUCACAGUUGCCAGCAUCUCCGCAAGGAGGAUGGGCACUCUGUGGGGACCGCCACCGCUAAGGUGGAGGAAGAAGCGGGCCACGGUAGGUCAGUAUGCCCCGAAUCCUCCGGGCUACACGCGUGCUACAAUGGGUAGUACAAUGGGUAUCGACCCCGAAAGGGGAAGGUAAUCUCCUAAAGCUACUCUCAGUUGGGGUCGAGGGCUGCAACUCGCCCUCGUG